RNAcentral lists this ribosomal RNA (999 nucleotides) under Pseudoalteromonas sp. RNAcentral's name for it is "partial 16S ribosomal RNA". It matches the Rfam family "Bacterial small subunit ribosomal RNA", at positions 58 to 1045 of the family's 1533-position model. The record is from RNAcentral. Lineage: Bacteria; Pseudomonadati; Pseudomonadota; Gammaproteobacteria; Alteromonadales; Pseudoalteromonadaceae.
CAGGCUCGAGCGGUAACAUUUCUAGCUUGCUAAAAAAGGACGAGCGGCGGAGGGGUGAGUAAUGCUUGGGAACAUGCCUUGAGGGGGGGGACAACAUUUGGAAACGACUGCUAAUACCGCAAAAUGUCUACGGACCAAAGGGGGCUUCGGCUCUCCCCUUUAAAUUGGCCCAAGUGGGAUUAUCUAUUUGGGGAGGUAAGGGCUCACCAAGGCGACAAUCCCUAUCUGGUUUGAGAGGAUGAUCACCCCCACUGGGACUGAGACACGGCCCAAACUCCUACGGGAGGCACCAGUGGGGAAUAUUGCACAAUGGGCGCAAGCCUGAUGCACCCAUGCCGCGUGUGUGAAAAAGGCCUUCGGGUUGUAAAGCACUUUCACUCAGGAGGAAAGGUUAUUAUUUAAAACCUGCUAUCUGUGACGUUACUGACAAAAAAAACACCGGCUAACUCCGUGCCACCACCCGCGGUAAUACGGAGGGGGCGAGCGUUAUUCGGAAUUACUGGGCGUAAAGCGUACGCGCGCGGUUUGUUAAGCGAGAUGUGAAAGCCCCGGGCUCAACCUGGGAACUGCGUUUCUAACUGGCAAACUAUAGUGUGAUAGAGGGUGGUAAAAUUUCAGGUGUAGCGGUGAAAUGCGUAGAGAUCUGAAGGAAUACCGAUGGCGAGGGCGGCCCCCUGGGUCAACACUGACGCUCAUGUACAAAAGCGUGGGGGAGCAAACAGGAUUAUAUACCCUGUUAUUCCACGCCGUAAACGAUGUCUACUAGAAAGCUCGGAACCUCGGUUCUGUUUUUCACAGCUCACGCACUAAAAUAUACCCGCCUGGGGGAGUACAGCCGCAAGGUUAAAAACUCAAAUGAAUUUGACGGGGGGCCCCCACAAACAGAUGGGAGCAUGUGGGUUUAUUUCUAUGCAACGCGAAAAACAUCACCUACACUCGACAUACAGAGACUUACUAGAGAUGGUUUGGUGCCUCGGGAACUCUGAUACAAGUGCUGCA